UAGCGCCGCCCUCCUUGGGCGUUUCCUCCCUAGACUCGGGCCGCCUCUUUUGAGUGCGGCCCUUUUUUCUGGGGCGC
RNAcentral lists this small RNA (77 nucleotides) under Pannonibacter phragmitetus. Its description in RNAcentral is "Makes More Granules Regulator RNA (mmgR)". It matches the Rfam family "Makes More Granules Regulator RNA (mmgR)". Rfam says of the family: SuhB later renamed mmgR (makes more granules regulator) was a putative non-coding RNA found multiple times in the Agrobacterium tumefaciens genome and related alpha-proteobacteria. Other non-coding RNAs uncovered in the same analysis include: speF, ybhL, metA, and serC. Several studies inSinorhizobium meliloti showed that suhB element is indeed a non-coding RNA:firstly it was detected on Northern blot and called Sm8RNA, secondly in an RNAseq study referred to as SmelC689. The record is from Rfam by way of RNAcentral. Lineage: Bacteria; Pseudomonadati; Pseudomonadota; Alphaproteobacteria; Hyphomicrobiales; Stappiaceae. RNAcentral also lists the same sequence under 1 other name.